GCCAGGGGUGGUGGCUCACUCCUGUAAUCCCAGCAUUUUGGGAGGCUGAGGUAGGAGGAUCACUUGAGCCCGGGAGGUUGAGGCUGCAGUGUGCCAAGAUCGUGCCACUGCACUCUAGUCUGGGCAACAGAGUAAGACCCUGUCUCAA
Macaca fascicularis (crab-eating macaque) is the source of this 148-nucleotide unclassified non-coding RNA. It matches the Rfam family "Metazoan signal recognition particle RNA". From Rfam's summary of the family: The signal recognition particle (SRP) is a universally conserved ribonucleoprotein. It is involved in the co-translational targeting of proteins to membranes. Lineage: Eukaryota; Metazoa; Chordata; Mammalia; Primates; Cercopithecidae. The record is from Ensembl.